RNAcentral lists this ribosomal RNA (442 nucleotides) under uncultured Methanolinea sp. RNAcentral's name for it is "bacterial SSU rRNA". It matches the Rfam family "Archaeal small subunit ribosomal RNA", at positions 897 to 1338 of the family's 1478-position model. Lineage: Archaea; Methanobacteriati; Methanobacteriota; Methanomicrobia; Methanomicrobiales; Methanoregulaceae. The record is from RNAcentral.
GCGGUUUAAUUGGAUUCAACGCCGGAAAUCUUACCGGGACCGACAGCAAUAUGAAGGCCAGGCUGAAGACUUUGCCGGAUUAGCUGAGAGGUGGUGCAUGGCCGUCGUCAGUUUGUACUGUGAAGCAUCCUGUUAAGUCAGGCAACGAGCGAGACCCACGCCAACAGUUGCCAGCAUGUCCUCCGGGAUGAUGGGGACACUGUUGGGACCGCCUCUGCUAAAGAGGAGGAAGGAAUGGGCAACGGUAGGUCAGCAUGCCCCGAAUUAUCCGGGCUACACGCGGGCUACAAUGGUCAGGACAAUGGGUAUCGACACCGAGAGGUGGAGGCAAUCUCCUAAACCUGUCCUUAGUUCGGAUUGUGGGCUGCAACUCGCCCACAUGAAGCUGGAAUCCGUAGUAAUCGCGUUUCAAAAUAGCGCGGUGAAUAUGUCCCUGCUCCUU